UAAUACGAAGGGGGCGAGCGUUAUUCGGAAUCACUGGGCGUAAAGCGUGCGUAGGCUGCUUUGUAAGUUAGGAGUGAAAGCCCAGGGCUCAACCCUGGAAUUGCUCUUAAGACUGCAAGGCUCGAAUCUCGGAGAGGAUAGCGGAAUUGUCAGUGUAGCAGUGAAAUGCGUAGAUAUUGACAGGAACACCAGUGGCGCAAGCGGCUAUCUGGACGAGUAUUGACGCUGAGGCACGAAAGCGUGGGGAGCAAACAGG
Molecule: ribosomal RNA, 256 nt
Filed under: uncultured bacterium
Lineage: Bacteria
Description: partial 16S ribosomal RNA
Rfam family: Bacterial small subunit ribosomal RNA
Source: RNAcentral